CCUCAGCAUCUUUUUCGGCCUUAGGCGUUCUUCGAGUCGUCCCCAUCUCUGCAUCUCUGCAUCCUUCGGACCAACCUAGGUUAGUUCCAGAACUUCCCUCUUCAUUUUUUCUCUUGCUAUUCUUCUUUCAUUUUUCUUCUGUUACAGUCCGCCUAUUCAAUUUUCUGCGAGCGCCCUAUCUCUUAUUUUUUACAAUUUUUUCUGGGAUUUUUAAGGUUUUUGCUCGAUUCAUAAUGUCCUCCAGCACUUCCUCCUC
RNAcentral lists this long non-coding RNA (256 nucleotides) under Elaeis guineensis (African oil palm). RNAcentral describes it as "long non-coding RNA (EGUI_LNC051544)". Lineage: Eukaryota; Viridiplantae; Streptophyta; Magnoliopsida; Arecales; Arecaceae. The record is from RNAcentral.